AUAUGAGCUGAUUUUGCAUAUCAAUAAGCGGAGGAAAAGAAACCAACAGGGAUUGCCUCAGUAACGGCGAGUGAAGCGGCAAAAGCUCAAAUUUGAAAUCCCCCCGGGGAGUUGUAAUUUGAAGAUUGCGUCUUGGAGGCGACCGUGUCUAUGUUCCUUGGAACAGGACGUCACAGAGGGUGAGAAUCCCGUGCGGCACGGCCCCCGGCUCCUUAUAAGGCGCUCUCGACGAGUCGAGUUGUUUGGGAAUGCAGCUCAAAGUGGGUGGUAAAUUCCAUCUAAAGCUAAAUACAGGCGAGAGACCGAUAGCGAACAAGUACAGUGAUGGAAAGAUGAAAAGCACUUUGAAAAGAGAGUGAAACAGCACGUGAAAUUGUUGAAAGGGAAGGGCAUGCCGUCAGAUUGUCAGUGUGGGUAAGAAGCGGGGUACAAAGACUGUGGAACGUGGCCCUCGGGUGUUAUAGCCGCAGUUCAUGCCCCGUCUCUUUCCGAGGCCUGCUUUGAGGACACCGACGUAAUGACGGUACGCCGCCCGUCUUGAACCACGGACCAAAACGAAUAUUUG
This 565-nucleotide ribosomal RNA is filed under the name Kodamaea ohmeri. Its description in RNAcentral is "partial large subunit ribosomal RNA". It matches the Rfam family "Eukaryotic large subunit ribosomal RNA", at positions 21 to 681 of the family's 3401-position model. The record is from RNAcentral. Lineage: Eukaryota; Fungi; Ascomycota; Pichiomycetes; Serinales; Debaryomycetaceae.